UACGGAGGAUGCAAGCGUUAUCCGGAUUUAUUGGGUUUAAAGGGUGCGUAGGCGGGACAGUAAGUCAGUGGUGAAAGGCUGCGGCUUAACCGUAGAAUUGCCAUUGAUACUGCUAUUCUUGAAUGUAGUUGAGGUAGGCGGAAUGUGUAAUGUAGCGGUGAAAUGCUUAGAUAUUACACAGAACACCGAUUGCGUAGGCAGCUUACUAAGCUAUUAUUGACGCUGAGGCACGAAAGCGUGGGGAUCGAACAGG
Molecule: ribosomal RNA, 253 nt
Filed under: uncultured bacterium
Lineage: Bacteria
Description: partial 16S ribosomal RNA
Rfam family: Bacterial small subunit ribosomal RNA
Source: RNAcentral